UUUAUCAAAAUUAAAUACUCAUAUUCUGAUGCCGCUGAAUCUUUUAUCCUUCCUAUUGCUACUGGAUCUGCCAAAGGAAAAAAAAAUUAAGUUUUUGUCAAGAAAACUUUCAAGUGUUUAUCCACAACCAUUAGAAAUUACAAAAAAAAAAUAUGAAGAUUUAAUGAAGUUGUGUGAAAAGCAUGUAAUACCUUCAAAGUUUGUUAAUGAAUAUAGAAAAUUUGCUCCAAAUACCAACAUACCUGAUAUCCUCGCAGAAACAGACGACGAAGAUGAAGAAAAUUGAAUAAUUUAAAUUCACAGAAUAGUUAUAUAUCAAAAUAUUAUGAAUUAUUAGAUCGAAUUCAUAGUUCACUUUCUUUGAAAACCGCAUACCCACAAAACGUCGUAAGUACAUAUAUUAAGCGACAAACUCAUGUAUAUUAAAUUUCAAAGAGUGCUCACAAAUUAUCGUAAGCGCCAUAUUUAAUAGAAAUUUCCUUUUUUCUACUUUUCUUUCUGCUUCAGAUGAAUGAGUAGAGCUGCUAGAGUUCACGUAUGAAUUUUUAGAUGAUUAUGUUUUGAAAUGGUUUACUUAUACAAAAAUAUCGUUUUGUGUAAAAUCAAGCUAUUGUCGCUUAUGAUGUUUUGUCAGAAAGCCAUCGAUAUCGUAUAUUUAAGAGUUCUUUUGACCAGAUGGAUAUACCAUUGAAAAUUAUAUUUCAACUUUGAUUUAAAAAUUAAAAUUUCCGCACUGUACCCGAGUUGAAAUAAAAAAUCGUUAUUUGAAAUUUUUUGCUAAUUUGAAAAAAAUGCUUGCUAAUGACAUUUUUUAUUAUUUUGAUACUUGUUCACAAAUUCUUAAUAUUAUGAUUAUUAUUUCUGUAUAAAUGCUUACACAUACUUGUAUGAGAAAAUAACUGUGCACUUUUAGAUCUUUGCUAAUAAUUCAAUGAAAUUCUCAAUCUCUGAUAUAUAUCUUAUAAUUUCAAAUUAAUACUAAGUAUAAUAAUUCGUGAAUUUUAUUUUAAUUACAUAUAAAUACAAAUUUGAAUAUUUUUAUAACAGAUUUGAUGUGUGUAUGAGGUAUUCAACGAGUCAGGUAGGACAUGUAUUUCAAUCUAGGAAAUUUCUGUUCAAUAUUAAUUAUUUACAUACCACUAGUCUUGCCAAAUUUAAUUUGAAAAAGUAUUUCGUGCUAAAAGUUGAACAAUAACAAACUAAUCAAAAUCUUGAUGAAGCCUUCAACAAAGUUGCGAUAGUGGAUUAAAUCCAUGAAAUCAAGUCCAUACACAAAGUACAUAUAAUAGGAAUUGUUAUUAAUUGUAUUCACCAUAUAACGAAUUUUUCAUGAUUAAUUUCGAUAAUUACUUCAACAUUGCCUGGACUUUUGAAAGAAUUACACAGGUAACUAUACAAGCUCACUGAAUUGUAUUAUUAAAAAAAUAAAGAUUGUGCAGGUAAAAGUUACAUCUCCUUAAGUAUUUCAUACUUUUCGAAAGUAAAUAUUAAGUAUAAAAAUUAUUGAAUUUCAUACAAAAUAAAUUUCGAUAAUUAUU
Long non-coding RNA from Harmonia axyridis, 1538 nucleotides. RefSeq lists it as uncharacterized. Lineage: Eukaryota; Metazoa; Arthropoda; Insecta; Coleoptera; Coccinellidae. The transcript has 2 exons. The record is from RefSeq and is a predicted model, not a curated record.